GUGGAGUGUGUGUGAGGGGGAUGUCCUGAUGUGUGUAAGGAAUGCAUUGUGUGAAUCUGUGUUUGUAUGUGUAAGGGCUGCAAGAUGAGUUUGUGUAUGUAUGGGAUGCAGUGUGUGCGUCUGUAAGGGAUGCAUUGAGUGUGUGUAAGGGGUGCAUUGUGUGUUGCUGUGUGUAAGGGAUGCAUUGCUUGUGUACGUGUGUCUGUGUGUAAUGCAUUGUGUGUUUUUCUGUGUGCAAGGGGUGCAUUAUGUGUGAUGGAUGUCAAUCGCUCCCCCUCCCC
This is a non-coding RNA of Pelobates cultripes (western spadefoot toad), 281 nucleotides long. Lineage: Eukaryota; Metazoa; Chordata; Amphibia; Anura; Pelobatidae. The record is from the annotation of a GenBank genome assembly.